GCCGGGGUGGCGGAACGGUAGACGCGCAGGAUUUAGGAUCCUGUGUCGGCAACGACGUGGGGGUUCGAGUCCCUUCCUCGGCA
RNAcentral lists this transfer RNA (83 nucleotides) under Candidatus Woesebacteria bacterium. Its description in RNAcentral is "tRNA-Leu". It matches the Rfam family "tRNA". From Rfam's summary of the family: Transfer RNA (tRNA) molecules are approximately 80 nucleotides in length. Their secondary structure includes four short double-helical elements and three loops (D, anti-codon, and T loops). Further hydrogen bonds mediate the characteristic L-shaped molecular structure. tRNAs have two regions of fundamental functional importance: the anti-codon, which is responsible for specific mRNA codon recognition, and the 3' end, to which the tRNAs corresponding amino acid is attached (by aminoacyl-tRNA synthetases). tRNAs cope with the degeneracy of the genetic code in two manners: having more than one tRNA (with a specific anti-codon) for a particular amino acid; and 'wobble' base-pairing, i.e. permitting non-standard base-pairing at the 3rd anti-codon position. The record is from RNAcentral. Lineage: Bacteria; Candidatus Woeseibacteriota.